ACCAUAAGCUUACCCUCUCAAUCAUCCACUACCCCAAGGGAUCACACCGGCCAAGGCCUGAUUGGAGACGCCUGGGACCCUGCCGAGCUAGCCGGCCCCUCAACCCUGGCCGCAGCCACGACUCCGAGCGCUGCUCCUUCUUUUUCUGCACUUUCCUUUCUCCCCCACAAGCUUCUGAUUCUUGGAACCAGGCUUGGUGACCUCACGCGAGUGACUUCAUAUCCGGGACUUUCUGGGAAUUCUCAGCAGCACUUUUUCGUAAGAAACGUAACGCGGGGUGGGGGGGGGGGAGUGGGUGGGGAGGGGGUGGUGGGCGGAGCUUUUGAGGAAGAAGGGAGAGAACAGCUCAGGGCCCGCUUCCUCCUUCCGAUUAGGUCGGGUGGAGCUGGCAGGCGGGCGGGCCAGCUGCAGCCAGCGAAACCCGAGUACCGCCCCCUUGGCCUGCAGCAGGACACCCGCGCGCCUGCCUUCCGGGACGCAGGUGGGGGUUGGGGCGCGGACCUCAGUCCUCAUAGCGCCUGAUUUGGGACCAGGGAGUUGUUCCUGAGGGUUCCCAAGCAGAGCCUCUGCUAGAGUUUUCUUCGGAAGUUAGCUGGGCAUCUAACUAGGCAGCUCUGCCACAGGUUGCGGGGAGGGUCAGCAUAACCAAAACCAGAGCCCCAUUAUGAUUUUUGUGGACCCUAAGUACUUUUGCCUUAAUGGGCUCCUUUUCCAUAAAAAAAAAUUUUAAAGUAUAUUUUACGACUGUGGUGGUAUAAAGCCGAAUAGGUUAAUGUUAUAUAUUCAAACAAUGUCUUCGGCCUGAAAGUUUGUUUUUCCCUUCUGAUAGUAAAAUAAGUUAAAACAUUGUCAUGAGUUUCUAAAAGUAUUGAGGACCCUAGGCACUGUUGCCCCCUGUGCCGGAUGGGUGAGUUGGCCCUGGGUAAAGUCAGGGCGAUGUGACACAGCCUGGAAAGAACAUGAAAGGAUCUAGAAGAUAGAAUUCUCCCCUCCCGGAGGAGGCCAUAAACACAGUAACAGCUGCACAGGAAGGGCCUUGAAUGACCUAAGAAGCGUGGAUUUUAAGGUGACAGAGGUGGUGAGAAGCUGCUGCAAGGCUGGAUUGGAGGACUGAUGGUUUGGGGGUGGCACUGGUGGUGGGGAGAGAAAUGAGGAGGCUGUUGCUGCGGUACAGUUGGAUGUUGGAGCUCACAGAUCAACGUAGAAAUGAAGCAGGGGGCAAGGGGAAGAGGUACUUGGGAAGCCAAAGCCCACUGAUAUGAGGCGGUAAUGCAGGGAGAAGCCUGGGCUAUCUUCUCUGGCUUCGGUGAAUGGCAGAUGCUGCCAGCCCUCUUGGAAAACAGGAAGACAGGAGGAGAACCUGUAUGUGCUCCAGGACUUUGGGAAGAUCAAAUGGAAGGUCUUUCACAAAUAACAAAGCAAGGAGACUUCCAGUAACUUCACAGGCUUGUGGGCAGCUUCAGGGCCACCUCUUGCCCAGAUCCUGCGAUUGUUCUUAACAGGCAUUCUAACCCCACCCCUGCUGCCUGAGCUGCCUCCCCAAAGCUCCAUUCUUGUUGGGCCACUUUCCUGCUCCCUAUGGCCUGGAGGACAAAACCACCUCACUUGGACAUUUCCAGGAUAAAGAAUGAGGAAAAGCAGACUAAGUUUUUAAUACCCUUUCAGUAGAAAACUGUCCCAGAAACUCAUUGGCUACCUACUUCUUAAUUCCCAAUAACUGUUUUUAUGUGCACAUCUCCACCCCCAUAAUAGUCUUGACUCCCACCCUCAAAUAUGAACACUGGGCUUUCUCCAGAGCAGAUCAGGCCAAAAUCAAGGGCUGGGACAGGAAAUACACUUGCAGGGAGAAGAGCUGGGCUUGAAUGACCUCUUGAAAGAUAAUCCUUCAUGUAUUCACUCUAAAACAUGAAUUUAGCACUUACUAUGUGUUCUGGCACCAUUCUAGCACUGGGGAUGCAAUAAAAAUCAAAUGAGAUGUGGUUCUUCAUGGAAAUGCUACUUCAGUAGGGGGAAGACUGACUGUGGAGAUGUCACUUUCCAAAGACGUAUGCAUGUUCUAGAAUUUUGCCUCUCGCCUACCAAAAGGUGAUGUCUAAUACCCCCUUCCUUUCAAUCCGGGCAGACUUGUGACUCACUUGUAACCAACAGGAUGUACAGAUGUGAUUUUUCAUGACUUCUGAGACUAGGUCAUAAGAGGCGAUACAGCUUCUGCCUUGUUAGGUGGGACAUGUCUUUGGAGCCCUGAACUACAACUUAGGAAGUUCGACAACCCAGAGAUUGCCAUGUUGUGGGGAAGCCCAGGCCACAUGGAGAGGCCACAUGUGUGUGUUCUGGCUGACAUCCCUGCUGACCUCCCAAACAUUGUGGCACAGAAACAAGCCAUGCCAACUGUGCUCUGUCCCAAAUUCCUGUUUGGGGUGGUUUGCUAUGCAGAAAUAAUAUCUAGAACACUAAGAAACAAGGGAAUAAGUGAGCAAGAUAAUUUCAUAUUGUGAGAGGAAAAUAUGGGAAAACAUAAAGCAGCGUGAAAACAAGGGCCUCUUUAGGUGGGGGAAGCGGGGAGGACUGAUCAAGAAAGGUCUUUCUGGAGAGACAUUGGAACUGAGACCUGAGUGAGAAGGAGCUCAACCACUAACCAUCUGGGAGAAGAGACUUUCAGCCAGAGGGUUCAUUAAGUACAAAGGUCCGGAGGCAGGAAUCAGCUUGGUAUGUUCCAAGAAGGGCAAGAAAGACAGUGUGACUAGGGUGAUGUGGGUGAGGAGGAGAGUGGGGCCAACGAAGUUGGAGAGGAAGGCAGAGAGGCAAGUCAUUCUGGUCCUACAGGUCACUGAGAGGAGUUUGGAUUUAAGACUGAGUGAGCUGGGGAGCCGGUGGAGGGUAUUAUGCAGGAGUGCCUGGAUCUGGUAAACUCUUAUUAAUAAAAGUUCCUGCUGCCUGCUGGAGGACAGAGUGUAAGGACACACAGGGCAAAGGGAGGAGGAUCAUUGGGGAGGCUACGGCAGUGCCUCAUCCCCCAGGGAAGGGAGGAUGCACGAUGGCUUGAGACAUGGUGAUGGCGGUGAAGAUGGGGACUGGUGGACAAAUUCUGGACACAGAGGCAAUGACAGAGAGUACCAGCGAGGGAGGAGGCGCCCAGUCCUGCAGGUCCCGAGCAGGAUCUAGACAUGGGUGAGGACGGGAACCCGCUAUCCGUCUGGAGUCCGAAGGGAGCCUCAGCGAGAGGGCUGGCCAGGAUGGCGCGUCCUGGCGUCCGUCGUCUGCAGUGCAGAGCCAGUCCCUGGCUGCGCUCCUGCCGGACGUCUCCCAGCAACAGCCGCCGCCGCCCGAACGUUCUGAACUCGGCGGCCCCUUAGCUCUCAUCGUCGCCUCGGCGACGGCCGGUGGGAACACGCCCUGCGGGCUCCGGGGGCGGGGUCUUGGCGCCACGCGCUCCGCCUCCCGCGGGGUGCGCCUUCAGCCCCGCCCGCCCCCUCCCUUCCUCGGCGGCACGCGUGGCCGCAGGUGUGCAGGGCGCCCGGAGCGGCCUCGCCGAAAAGCCGCUUCUCUGUGCACGCCGCCGCCGGCGCGCACCACAGGCCCAGCCACCUCUCCCCACUCUUCCCCUCAGGCCGCCAUCUUCAACCAACUGGACUGAGUCUUCUGUCAUUCGGGUCACCUCCGCUGAGACGCCUUCCCUGACCACCCAAGUUGAAGGAACUGCCAACAUUUCCCUCUUGGACUUUGUGUUUUAUUUCCUUCACAGUAUUUCUCCCCUCUAAAAUUAUCUUGUCUGCUUCUACCUAUAUUGUCUUCCCUCUUGAAACCGAAGUUCCAUAAGCUGAGGCAGAAAUUCUGCCUUGUUCAUCUCUGUUGUCAGCACCCUGAACAGAGCCUGGCAUGAAUGAGGUGCUCAAUAAAAGUUACUUGGAUGAAUCGGCAGAUUUCCUCAAUCAUUUCAUUCAUUUAUGCAUUCAUUUAUUUGACAUUUAUGGAGUGCCUUCUAGGCACUUGUGGUAAAGAGGUACCAAGAUGAACGAGACAGGGAUACCCCUGGAGGUAAGAAAGAAGAGAUGUAUUUUUUUUUAAUUACGAUAAUACUAAAAGUGAAUGUCUUUGAGUUCCAGAUGCCAGGCAUAGCUUCAAGCUCUUUAUACUUUCUAGCGUUCCAUUAUUGGAAAGCUAAGCAUGUGGGAGUUAUUUGUCCGACAGCUCAAGGUCAUUGCCUAUAUAGGCUGCUGGGCCCUGUAAUCAAGUGAGAUCCCGCAGAAGGCAGGGGACCAACAAGAUUUGUGUACCAGGCCCAAGCAGGUGGAUUUGGUACCUUGAUUAUUCUCGACACAGCACAGUCUCCCACAGGGCACAGGCUCCUUCCAGAUCAGAGCUGUGUUGUCCCAGGAGAACCCUACGCAUAUUGGCUGAGCAGGCAACGAGGGGCCUGUGAGGGUUGUGGAGGGUUAGGCCCUGGGUUAGGGGUAGGAUAGGGCCUAUCUCUUCCAUUGAAGCAAAGUGUGAGUAACUUUCCACAUAAACUUGGUGUGAGGCAAACCUAGUUUCAAACGCCUGGAUAUCCAGGAAAUCCAGGAACUAAAUUUAUUCCACCUCGGGGUCUUUGCAAGUGCUCUUCCCUCCACCUAGCAUGCUUCCUCCCCCGAUUUGCACAUAGUUGCUCUUUGUCAUUUAGAUCUCAGCUGAGGUGUUUUUUCCUUAGAGAGCCCUGCCUUGGCCAUGCCACAGUCUAAGGCAAUCACCUGCCAUUGUCGCAUGACCAUAUUUUAAGACUUUUAUCCCAAAAUGGGAGAGUGGCCUAGUCAG
Molecule: long non-coding RNA, 4791 nt
Organism: Macaca mulatta (Rhesus monkey)
Lineage: Eukaryota; Metazoa; Chordata; Mammalia; Primates; Cercopithecidae
Source: Ensembl